This 540-nucleotide ribosomal RNA is filed under the name Staphylococcus epidermidis NIHLM061. RNAcentral's name for it is "bacterial SSU rRNA". It matches the Rfam family "Bacterial small subunit ribosomal RNA", at positions 1 to 520 of the family's 1533-position model. Lineage: Bacteria; Bacillati; Bacillota; Bacilli; Caryophanales; Staphylococcaceae. The record is from RNAcentral.
UUUUUAUGGAGAGUUUGAUCCUGGCUCAGGAUGAACGCUGGCGGCGUGCCUAAUACAUGCAAGUCGAGCGAACAGACGAGGAGCUUGCUCCUCUAACGUUAGCGGCGGACGGGUGAGUAACACGUGGAUAACCUACCUAUAAGACUGGGAUAACUUCGGGAAACCGGAGCUAAUACCGGAUAAUAUAUUGAACCGCAUGGUUCAAUAGUGAAAGACGGUUUUGCUGUCACUUAUAGAUGGAUCCGCGCCGCAUUAGCUAGUUGGUAAGGUAACGGCUUACCAAGGCAACGAUGCGUAGCCGACCUGAGAGGGUGAUCGGCCACACUGGAACUGAGACACGGUCCAGACUCCUACGGGAGGCAGCAGUAGGGAAUCUUCCGCAAUGGGCGAAAGCCUGACGGAGCAACGCCGCGUGAGUGAUGAAGGUCUUCGGAUCGUAAAACUCUGUUAUUAGGGAAGAAUAAAUGUGUAAGUAACUAUGCACGUCUUGACGGUACCUAAUCAGAAAGCCACGGCUAACUACGUGCCAGCAGCCGACGG